AGCUUUGCGCAGUGGCAGUAUCGUAGCCAAUGAGGUUUAUCCGAGGCGCGAUUAUUGCUAAUUAAAGUAUGUUACCUAAAUCUUUCCUUGUAGGAGCCUCUUACAUAAAGUGAAUAUUUGGUGAUAUACACAAAACUUUAUU
Molecule: small nuclear RNA, 142 nt
Organism: Lutra lutra (Eurasian river otter)
Lineage: Eukaryota; Metazoa; Chordata; Mammalia; Carnivora; Mustelidae
Product: U4 spliceosomal RNA
Exons: 1
Source: RefSeq, a predicted model, not a curated record